GAUGAACGCUGACAGAAUGCUUAACACAUGCAAGUCCACUUGAACUUCGGUUUGGGUGGCGGCCGGGUGAGUAACGCGUAAAGAACUUGCCUCACAGCUAGGGACAACAUUUGGAAACGAAUGCUAAUACCUGAUAUUAUGAUUAUAUGGCAUCGUAUAAUUAUGAAAGCUAUAUGCGCUGUGAGAGAGCUUUGCGUCCCAUUAGCUAGUUGGAGAGGUAACAGCUCACCAAGGCGAUGAUGGGUAGCCGGCCUGAGAGGGUGAUCGGCCACAAGGGGACUGAGACACGGCCCUUACUCCUACGGGAGGCAGCAGUGGGGAAUAUUGGACAAUGGACCGAGAGUCUGAUCCAGCAAUUCUGUGUGCACGAUGAAGUUUUUCGGAAUGUAAAGUGCUUUCAGUUGGGAAGAAAAAAAUGACGGUACCAACAGAAGAAGUGACGGCUAAAUACGUG
RNAcentral lists this ribosomal RNA (454 nucleotides) under uncultured bacterium. RNAcentral describes it as "partial 16S ribosomal RNA". It matches the Rfam family "Bacterial small subunit ribosomal RNA", at positions 28 to 507 of the family's 1533-position model. The record is from RNAcentral.